AUGGACCGCAUGCUGAGGCUGUUCAUCAGAAAUUCUCCCACCUCCGGCUUCACUGAGCUGCAGGACAUCUUGCAGGUCUGCCACUUGCCAAGAGCAGUGUUCCCAGGGGCGCUUCCUCACCCAGAGGGAAUUCAGCAUCCACUGCGGAACGGACAGACCCUACUUCAGUGCCAUGCACAGGCAGCACAGGGCAGGAAGGGUGCCCGCCUCCCUUGGGGGAACCGGGGGCUGCCCACUGAGGUCUUCUGGCAGCCCCAUAUCCCACGGGGCUGCUGCUUGCCGAGCCUCAGGGCUUCUGGAAGGUGGAAGGCAGUCCUCAUGGCAGGGACCGAAACCCCGCAGCGCUGCGUCCUCCUCCCUGAGCCCCGCACAGCCCUGAGCCCCUCGAGGUCCUGCUGCCGGCCGUGGGUCUCCCCUCUCACACUCCCCGUUGGUCUCUCUGCCACCCGGCUGCCAGGAUAAAGACCUGAAGAUGAAGUUCCUAAGGAGCAUCAGCAGCGUGUGCAGAACUGCCAGAAACUGCGGCCUGUGGUGCGGCCUCGAUGCCUUCUGCAACAAAUACGAGCUGGCAGAGCAUAUUAAGGUGAUGCGGCACCCACUGGAGGCUCUGGGAGGGGUGCAAGGGCGGGCUGUGGGGACGGGACUCUCGAGGGCUUUGGCCGGGGCCUCCUCCCUGAGGCCCUGAGCCCCUCGAGGCUUUGGUCCUGCUGCCGGCCAUGGGUCUCUCUACCGCCGUAGCCCUGCUCCAUGGCGGCCGCCCUCCGCCCGCGGCACCGCUCCGCCUCCCGGGCGCUCAGUGCGCAGCCGCGCGGCGCCCGCCUCCCAUUGGGCCCCGCCGGCCCCUUCGGCCCGCCCACGAAGCGCUGCUAUUGGCCGCCAUCCGCGUCGGCCGCCAUUGGCUGAGCUCGCCCCGAGGCCCUGAUCCCAUUGGAGCGCGCGGCCCGCCCCUCGCCGGCUUCCCCGCGAUCCGAUUGGUGGAGGCGCCUCCUGCGGUCCCGCCCCUUCGGCCCUUCUGUGGUCACGCCUCUCCGCUGUCAAUCACAGCCGGACCCGAUUCUGAGUGGGCAGCGGCGCGGGGCGCAUUGUGGGGGCCGGAGCAGAGCGGUCGCCAUGGAGACGGGGCCUGGUCCCGCUCUGCGAGCCUGACCCCCGGCCCCUGAGCUCUUCUUGACCUUUACCAGUGACCCCGGCCCCAAAUGAGACCCCCCAAGGCGUCCCCAUUGACUCCCCAGUCAGUAGGAUUGGAAAGGACGAAUGUUUAUUCAGCGCAGGGCAGAGCGGGGGAUAGUCCCACCAAAGACGUGCGCACCCGACGUGGCAACUUGCCUUGCUUAUCUGCAGCAAAGAGUUACAUGGGCCUGAAGUUUCACAACGCGCCCGUACAUAUUCAUAGCCUGUCCCCGCUUCGUCUUAAAAUUAGUCCCAAGCAGUCAUUUCCGGAAACUCCUCCCAUUUGCGCUUGCGCAGUGUGUCUUGGUGGCACACACGUGGUGGCACGCACCACGGUUAGCAAAGACACUGAGUAGCAUCCGAGCUUAAUGCCGUCAGCGCUCUAUCUCGACUCGAAGAGAUUCCCCCACCUCCCUCUCUCCAAGCUGCCCCUGUGCCCCUGCAGGGGACACCCGGCCCUCCCUGAGUCGGCAGCGGGUCACAGAAGGGCCCUUUGUGACAUCAUCUGGGCACUCCCCACUGCUGCGUAUAAAAGCCAGAGCAGCCAGCCCCGGCCACCCAGUGUCCGGCACGGCUGUGACGGGACAGGGCAGGAGCACGAGGCUGCGGAGCAGUCCCCGAGCAUAGCCCGCGUCUUCAUACAGCGCCGAGCCAUUUCUGUGAGAUUGCCUCUUCUCUACCCUCAGCCCGUAGUAUGGAGGAGAGACGACCACCCAGUAGCCCCAUGCUGGCCUGGGUGGAGGCCGAGGCUCGUCAGGAGAACACAGCUCCUAGUGAACACCAUGAGCACGUCAUGGAGCUGCUGUUGAACGGUGAGCGAGGGCUCCCGUCAGGGGGAGCAGGGCUGGGGCUAGGGAGCGGGGGGGCCAGCAAGAACACCCUGCUCAGCGUCAGGACCAGCAUGGCAGCCCAGCCCCCGGACACCCCCAGGGAGGUUGUGCCAGGGGAGCAAGCACGGGGCUGGAGGGAGGCCAGAGCUCCUUCCUCUCCUCCCUCCUGCCUUUGGCCACCCUCUACAACCCUCCUUCUUCUCCUGCCUUCUUAGAAGCUGGCAGCUUAGCUGUCUACAAGAAAGAAGAGGAGAGCUUGUACAGCAUUCUUUCCUUCGUCAGCAGCACGCAACAGGUAGGUGUGGCCUUGCCAUGGUGGCUGUGCCUGUGUCUCCUGAGGGUCGCACAGCUCUGCUGCCAGGAUGCUGGCGGGCUGCUGGCGAGGCAGAGCUGCCGCCCUCCAGGAGCCCCGCACAGCCCUGAGCCCCUCGAGGCUUUGGUCCUGCUGCCGGCCAUGGGUCUCCCCUC
This 2468-nucleotide long non-coding RNA is filed under the name Anas zonorhyncha (Eastern spot-billed duck). Its description in RNAcentral is "lncRNA (ENSAZOG00000016311.1)". The record is from RNAcentral. Lineage: Eukaryota; Metazoa; Chordata; Aves; Anseriformes; Anatidae.